Molecule: ribosomal RNA, 1355 nt
Filed under: uncultured bacterium
Lineage: Bacteria
Description: partial 16S ribosomal RNA
Rfam family: Bacterial small subunit ribosomal RNA
Source: RNAcentral
GCCUAACACAUGCAAGUCGAGCGUGAACCAUUGGAAUGAAUCUUCGGGCGAGUGAAGAUGGCUAAAGCGGCGGACGGGUGAGUAACGCGUACGCAACCCGCCCCGUAGGGGGGGAUCGCCUCGGGAAACCGGGAUUAAGACCCCAUAAUACCUUUUGUUCACAUGGAUGAAAAGGUCAAAGAUUUUAUCGGUAUGGGAUGGGCCUGCGUCUGAUUAGCUGGUUGGUGGGGUAACGGCCUACCAAGGCAACGAUCAGUAGCCGACCUGAGAGGGUGAUCGGCCACAUUGGAACUGAGACACGGUCCAAACUCCUACGGGAGGCAGCAGUGGGGAAUAUUGCACAAUGGGCGCAAGCCUGAUGCAGCAACGCCGCGUGAGCGAGGAAGGCCUUUGGGUCGUAAAGCUCUGUCGGGAAGGAAGAUAAUGACGGUACUUCCCGAGGAAGCCCCGGCUAACUACGUGCCAGCAGCCGCGGUAAUACGUAGGGGGCGAGCGUUAUCCGGAAUUAUUGGGCGUAAAGAGUGCGUAGGUGGUUUCUUAAGCGUGGGGUGAAGGCCAUUGGCUCAACCAGUGUAAGCCCCGCGAACUGGGGAACUUGAGUGCAGGAGAGGAAAGCGGAAUUCCUAGUGUAGCGGUGAAAUGCGUAGAUAUUAGGAGGAACACCAGUGGCGAAGGCGGCUUUCUGGACUGUAACUGACACUGAGGCACGAAAGCGUGGGGAGCAAACAGGAUUAGAUACCCUGGUAGUCCACGCCGUAAACGACGAGAACGAGGUGUCGGGGUCGCCAGGGCUCGGGUGCCGCAGUUAACGCAUUAAUGGUCCCGCCUGGGGAGUACGUACGCAAGUAUGAAACUCAAAGGAAUGGACGGGGACCCGCACAAGCAGCGGAGCAUGUGGUUUAAUUCGAAGCAACGCGAAGAACCUUACCAGGGCUUGACAUCCCCCUGACCGGCGUGUAACGGCGCCUUCCCUUCGGGGCAGAGGAGACAGGUGGUGCAUGGUUGUCGUCAGCUCGUGCCGUGAGGUGCCGGCUUAAGUGCCAUAACGAGCGCAACCCUCAUCGUUAGUUGCCAUCAGGUCAAGCUGGGGACUCUAACGGGACUGCCAUCGUAAGAUGUGAGGAAGGUGGGGAUGACGUCAAAUCAGCACGGCCCUUACGUCCGGGGCGACACACGUGUUACAAUGGGUGGUACAAAGGGCAGCUACCGGGCGACCGGAUGCCAAUCUCUAAAACCACUCUCAGUUCGGAUCGGAGUCUGCAACUCGACUCCGUGAAGCUGGAUUCGCUAGUAAUCGCGCAUCAGCCACGGCGCGGUGAAUACGUUCCCGGGCCUUGCACACACGGCCCGUCAAG